UUAAUUCCCCUUCUUAACACUUUUUCCUUAGGUGAACCUGCGGAAGGAUCAUUAUUGUAUAACCGAGGUGCGAGGGCUGUCGCUGACCCGAAAGGUCGUGCACGCCCGAGUGCCCUCACACACAUCCAUCUCACCCCUAUGUGCACCACCGCGUGGGUCCCCCUUUGGCUUGUUCGGAGGGGGGCUUACGUUUUCACACAAACUUUGUAUGCAGUGUAGAAUGUAUUUUUUGUUUUUGCGAUCACGCAAUCAAUACAACUUUCAACAACGGAUCUCUUGGCUCUC
Molecule: unclassified non-coding RNA, 285 nt
Filed under: plant metagenome
Description: partial contains small subunit ribosomal RNA, internal transcribed spacer 1, and 5.8S ribosomal RNA
Source: RNAcentral